AGUGAACGCUGGCGGUAGGCCUAACACAUGCAAGUCGAACGGCAGCACAGGAGAGCUUGCUCUCUGGGUGGCGAGUGGCGGACGGGUGAGGAAUACAUCGGAAUCUACUUUUUCGUGGGGGAUAACGUAGGGAAACUUACGCUAAUACCGCAUACGACCUACGGGUGAAAGCAGGGGAUCUUCGGACCUUGCGCGAUUGAAUGAGCCGAUGUCGGAUUAGCUAGUUAGCGGGGUAAAGGCCCACCAAGGCGACGAUCCGUAGCUGGUCUGAGAGGAUGAUCAGCCACACUGGAACUGAGACACGGUCCAGACUCCUACGGGAGGCAGCAGUGGGGAAUAUUGGACAAUGGGCGCAAGCCUGAUCCAGCCAUACCGCGUGGGUGAAGAAGGCCUUCGGGUUGUAAAGCCCUUUUGUUGGGAAAGAAAUCCAGCUGGUUAAUACCCGGUUGGGAUGACGGUACCCGGAGAAGAAGCCCCGGCUAACUUCGUGCCAGCCGCCGCAGUAA
Molecule: ribosomal RNA, 506 nt
Filed under: uncultured bacterium
Lineage: Bacteria
Description: partial 16S ribosomal RNA
Rfam family: Bacterial small subunit ribosomal RNA
Source: RNAcentral